This 248-nucleotide long non-coding RNA is filed under the name Carica papaya (papaya). Its description in RNAcentral is "long non-coding RNA (CPAP_LNC009531)". Lineage: Eukaryota; Viridiplantae; Streptophyta; Magnoliopsida; Brassicales; Caricaceae. The record is from RNAcentral.
AAAAUUUUUAAACUAUUUUGGCAAAAAUAAAAAAAAUAAAAAUUUAAAAUAACAAAAAAAUCAUGCACAACAUAAUUUAAAUGUCGAUUAAAAUUUAAACACAAUAAUUUACCCAAAAUAGAAAAAUUCUAAAACACAUUUCUAGGGUGUUACAUCCUCCUCACCUUAUAAAAAUUUGGUACUCCAAAUUUAAAAUUUUAAAACAGUUCUAGAUACUUGUCCCGCAUUUCAUCUUCAAGUUUCCAUGU